UCCCUGGUGGCUCAGAUGGUAAAGCAUCUGUCUACAAUGCAGGAGACCCGAGUUCGAUCCCUGGGUCGGGAA
RNAcentral lists this transfer RNA (72 nucleotides) under Ovis aries (sheep). It matches the Rfam family "tRNA". From Rfam's summary of the family: Transfer RNA (tRNA) molecules are approximately 80 nucleotides in length. Their secondary structure includes four short double-helical elements and three loops (D, anti-codon, and T loops). Further hydrogen bonds mediate the characteristic L-shaped molecular structure. tRNAs have two regions of fundamental functional importance: the anti-codon, which is responsible for specific mRNA codon recognition, and the 3' end, to which the tRNAs corresponding amino acid is attached (by aminoacyl-tRNA synthetases). tRNAs cope with the degeneracy of the genetic code in two manners: having more than one tRNA (with a specific anti-codon) for a particular amino acid; and 'wobble' base-pairing, i.e. permitting non-standard base-pairing at the 3rd anti-codon position. The record is from Rfam by way of RNAcentral. Lineage: Eukaryota; Metazoa; Chordata; Mammalia; Artiodactyla; Bovidae.